GCAGUCUCUCAGUUACACGCAGUAAUACGACAUUUAGCAGUUACGACUCUCAGUUACGUAGAUUUCACGGAAGUUCGGCUGUAUUUUUUGUUGGCUAGUUUGAGUAGUUUCCAUAUUCCAAUUUCUAAACUUCGUAUACUCAGCGGACUCUAACAACAGUAUUCAACGAUGUUCUCAAUGUUUUAUCUGCUUGUGCUGCCUGUCUCUAACAUGUGGUUAUAACAAAGCAGUCAAGUGAAGGAAAUGUUUUAACCUUUACAGGAUUACCAAACGACAUUUGUGCAAGAAGCAGUCCAGGAACUAGGUGCACUAUGUCCUCCAAACUUCCAGUACAAGAAGCAGUCGUGCUGGAUUUCAAAUUUUCACUAUGAGUGCUUUGAGAAAUGCUGACUCAAAUACAACAACAAGGUAAUGUCUGGAUCUCAAAAGUUACGAUGUGAUUGUUGAAAUUGAUUUUAUUGUUCGUGGAGCACCAGAGAAAGAGAAAUCUAGCAUCCAGCAUCAGCUACACCAACCCUAAUUACUGAAGCUGGACUGCUGUACAUUUUGUUUCACCCAAAGAGUAAUUUAGUAAUAGUAAAUUUCCAAUCUCAUAUGGACCAACACUGCUGUAGUUCUUCACCUGGCAACAAAGUGUCACUGAAGUAAAAAGGUAGAGAGAAGAUGUCGAUUGUCGACGUGAGUGACUAUAACCAUGCUAUAACUGCGGGACUGUUGACAGGUAACCCAGUUUUUGCCCAUAUGUUCCAGCAUUUGAGGAAAUUGGAGACUAAUCACUUGUGCUUAAGUUUUCAAUGCCUACUUUGCUCACUACCUGGUGUAAAACAAAAUAACAGAUCCUCAGUUACCUCAGCACUUGGUUUAUGUUAAAGUUAACCGAAGCUGAACGAAACUUUUGUUUGCUGCGUGUACGUAAUUUGCUUUAACGGUGUCAUUAAUUUCUUCUUGCUCUUAUAGGAUUUCCAUAGGCAUGUCGAAGUCGAUGACCACGAAAGCGCUUCACGCUCAAGGUCACCACAUUAAAUUGUGUUUCCAUAUUCUGAAUGCAGUUCUUGUCCGUCGGUGUCGUGUUUCCGUGGACCAAGUAAUCGAAUUUUUUUACUUUUUGGGUAGAUGUAGUUAUAGAUUUCUAUCUGCGUAUUGAACUUAUGGUGAUCCAAUCCAUCCCGAGCUGUUCCGGCCAUUGAAUUUUCGCAAGAUGGAAGAAUUCAAUACUCUUCUAAAACAGAACCGAGAAUCCAGGAAUAUUUUAUCUCUUCCAUAAUUAAAAUAUUUAUGGUCGUACUUUGAUCGAAUUGAAUUUUUUAUUAAAUUAUAAGUUUAGAUACAGAUA
Long non-coding RNA from Daphnia pulex (common water flea), 1333 nucleotides. RefSeq lists it as uncharacterized. The record is from RefSeq and is a predicted model, not a curated record. Lineage: Eukaryota; Metazoa; Arthropoda; Branchiopoda; Diplostraca; Daphniidae. The transcript has 2 exons.